UUGUAAUUUGCAGAAGGUGUUUCGGGCGCGACGACGGUCCAAGUCCCUUGGAAUUGGGCGUCAUAGAGGGUGAGAAUCCCGUAUGGCACCGUCCGUCAACCCCAUGUGAAGCCCUUUCGACGAGUCGAGUUGUUUGGGAAUGCAGCUCUAAAUGGGUGGUAAAUUUCAUCUAAGGCUAAAUACCUGCCAGAGACCGAUAGCGCACAAGUAGAGUGAUCGAAAGAUGAAAAGAACUUUGAAAAGAGAGUUAAACAGUACGUGAAAUUGUUAAAAGGGAAGCGCUCGCAAUCAGACUCGAUUGCAGGGGUUCAAUCGUCCUUUGGGGCGGUGUAUUCCUCUGUUUACGGGCCAGCAUCGAUUUUGGCGGUCGGAUAAAGGUCUUGGGAAAGUAGCUCUCCUCGGAGAGUGUUAUAGCCUGAGGCGCAAUGUGACCUGUCGAGAUCGAGGAUCGCGCUUUUGCUAGGAUGCUGGCGUAAUGGUUGCUAGCGACCCGUCUUGAAACACGGACCAGUGAGUUCCACUUAUUCUGUUCUUCUAUUAAGUUGCAAUUACUAACAGCUUGCUUCAGAGGAGUCGACCAAUCGCGCGAGUGUUUGGGUGUAAAACCCAAGCGCGCAGUGAAAGCAAACGUAGGUGGGAGCCUUUGGGCGCACCAUCGACCGAUCUUGAUGUCUUCGGAUGGAUUUGAGUAUGAGCACGGUCGGUCGGACCCGAAAGGUGAGUUCCAAUUUUCCGCAUAUAUUCGCUGGGUUUGCUGACUUUUACAAGAUGGUGAACUAUGCGUGAAUAGAAUGAAGCCAGGGGAAACCCUGGUGGAAGUUCGCAGCGGUUCUGACGUGCAAAUCGAUCGUCAAAUUUGCGCAUAGGGGCGAAAGGUAUGUUCAACUUUCAAUUAGUUAUGGCAGCGCUGGGUCGGUGGAUUUGCUAACUCUCUGCCAGACUAAUCGAACCGUCUAGUAGCUGGUUCCUGUCGAAGUUUCCCUCAGGAUAGCAGCAACGAGAAACAGUCUCAUGAGGUAGAGCGAACGAUUAGAGGCCUUGGGACAGCAACUGUCUUAACCUAUUCUCGAACUUCGAAUAUGUGAGAAGUCCUUGUUACUUAAUUGAA
RNAcentral lists this ribosomal RNA (1108 nucleotides) under Thecaria montagnei. RNAcentral's name for it is "eukaryotic LSU rRNA". It matches the Rfam family "Eukaryotic large subunit ribosomal RNA", at positions 143 to 1099 of the family's 3401-position model. Lineage: Eukaryota; Fungi; Ascomycota; Lecanoromycetes; Ostropales; Graphidaceae. The record is from RNAcentral.